GACGAACGCUGGCGGCGUGCUUAACACAUGCAAGUCGAACGGAAAGGCCCUGCUUUUGUGGGGUGCUCGAGUGGCGAACGGGUGAGUAACACGUGAGUAACCUGCCCUUGACUUUGGGAUAACUUCAGGAAACUGGGGCUAAUACCGGAUAGGAGCUCCUGCUGCAUGGUGGGGGUUGGAAAGUUUCGGCGGUUGGGGUUGGACUCGCGGCUUAUCAGCUUGUUGGUGGGGUAGUGGCUUACCAAGGCUUUGACGGGUAGCCGGCCUGAGAGGGUGACCGGCCACAUUGCGACUGCGAUACGGCCCAGACGCCUACGGGAGGCAGCAGUGGGGAAUAUUGCCCAAUGGGAGGAAGCCUGAUGCAGCAACGCCGCGUGCGGGAUGACGGCCUUCGGGUUGUAAACAGCUUCCGCCUGUGACGCAGCGUGAGUGACGGUAAUGGGUGAAGAAGCACCGGCUAACUACGUG
RNAcentral lists this ribosomal RNA (468 nucleotides) under uncultured bacterium. RNAcentral describes it as "partial 16S ribosomal RNA". It matches the Rfam family "Bacterial small subunit ribosomal RNA", at positions 28 to 507 of the family's 1533-position model. The record is from RNAcentral.